Molecule: unclassified non-coding RNA, 459 nt
Filed under: Hevea brasiliensis (rubber tree)
Lineage: Eukaryota; Viridiplantae; Streptophyta; Magnoliopsida; Malpighiales; Euphorbiaceae
Source: RNAcentral
CAACCUUAAUCAAAGUGGCUUUCCUGCUCGAGGCAUUAUCAACAGUAACCCUGAAAUUCAAGCAUCAACAAAGGCACAACAUCACAACCCAUGUGGCUAAAACCUUGAAACUCCAACAUUUCGGCUCAAGAAAUGGAAAUUUCAAGAAAAACGCAAGAACUCACUUGAAUUUAAAAGCAACGAGGAAAUACCAACGUAAACCUGAAAUCCCAAAUAAUCAAAAGAAACAAAGAAACAGAAAGAUAAUAAUACCCAGGAGGGUUCAUUCGAAUGACGAGCUUCUCAAACUCAUCAUCCAUUGUGAGAGAAGGAGAUCAGCAAUCCAUUUGAACCAAAAAAAUGGAGAGAAAUUUUCGUAAGAACCGAGAGCAGAGGUGUCUGUUUCUUUGCACUUCCUUUGUAUGGUACUUUUGAAUUCUGAGUUCAGUUUGCGGCCCUGCGUUCGUUGGCGUGGCUGUG